CGAUAUCCACACGAAGUUUUGAAAUUUUAUAAGUAUACCUUUAGUCCAGUUGAGAAGAGGCAAAAUAAAGACCUUACUCAGUAAAAAUCGCUAAGAAGAAAUUUCG
Cotesia glomerata is the source of this 106-nucleotide long non-coding RNA. RefSeq lists it as uncharacterized. The record is from RefSeq and is a predicted model, not a curated record. The transcript is spliced from 3 exons. NCBI's taxonomy places the organism in Eukaryota, Metazoa, Arthropoda, Insecta, Hymenoptera, Braconidae.